Molecule: non-coding RNA, 2082 nt
Organism: Drosophila melanogaster (fruit fly)
Lineage: Eukaryota; Metazoa; Arthropoda; Insecta; Diptera; Drosophilidae
Source: Ensembl
CGGGGCCAUAAACGGGUUGGCCUAAAAACGGCAGAAGUUUGCCGCAGUGGAAACUGUCAAGUGGCGAACCAAAAACAAUACCGCAACGCAAACCCACUUUGCAUGAUUUAGGGCCAUAGGGAAAAUCGCAAUAUACCUUGCGAUAUACCACUUAUCCUGCUGCUGCUUAUCCUGGCUCACACAUACUUCUGGCUAUUCAGAUAUGCGAGCGGCCGAGAGGUGUGUCCUUUGUAUGGAAAAUCGAUGGCACAAUGUGAUUAGCAACACAAAAUUACUCGGCGUGGAAGGGGGCGAUCGAAGAGGGCUUGUCUUUUGCGUGUCCUCUUCCUGAAGGACCCUGAAGUAGACUGACAAGCGACGUAAACAAACUAACUAACUUAGCAAAUGAGUUUAUUAAUGAGCAAACUAAGUAGCUCUGCAAGUUGGAAAUGGAAAUGGAAAGGGGAAAAUAGGUGGAGAGACCAUUAAGUUCUAUGAUUAAAACAUGCUUGAAAGGCUAGCCUUUAGUUUGAACUAAAACUGGGAGUUUAAUACACCGGCAGAUGUCCUGUCAUUAAACCUCGACGUCUGUCCACAAAUUACUCCAUGUCUGGUGCUUUAUAUAAGUUUCAUCUAUCUUCUUCCCCUAGCCAAUUGCUAAAGUCAACUUGCCUGGUUUCUGUAUCCCUCAUUUCCGGUUUUUAUCCUGCUUCUCCACACGAUUUCCUCAGUCUGCUCUUUGUCUGUAAUUUGCAGCUUUCUUAAUUAAAAUGUGCAACCAAAAACCCAGCUCCCUAAUUUUUCAGACUGUGCUAUUCUCAACCAUCGAACCAAGCUGAGGUAUUGUGUUUUUGUUUAGCAUAUUAACAAAGUUUUGUGCUUAAUUUAAUCUGCACUCGUUUGACGCUUUCAUUCGAGGACUCUCCUGAACUUCAAAGUAACUGGCCAAGAAUUUUUGUUUCGCAAAACUUGCCGAAAAAGUUUCGCCUUUGAGUGGCCCGCUACACCAUGUUUAAACCCACUGGCAGGCCGAUUUUCGUCUUACCAACUGGACCCAUUUUCCUGGCUGCCAUAAUUUAUGACCCACACAGUUGGUCGAGUAUCGCAAAAGGCAAACAAUUGCUUUGGGGAAAUGCUCCCUGUCGGUUGCAUAAUUGAUGUGGGCCUGCUCGUACGAGUGUGCAAUUCUUUUUGCUACCCAGUAAUCGCGAGUCAGGGAGUUUGAUUCAGUGGGAUAAUGGAAACUGAAAGAAAUGGGAAAUGAUAUGAAACUUAAAAGGAAAUAACUCCUUUGUAUUUCUGUUUGACAAUAAUUAUAUCUGUAAAUUGUAUAUUUUAUUAAUGUGUAUAAAUAGAUAAUAAUCGUAGAGCGCAGAUGGCUGGUUUGGUGUAAAGGAUCCCAUCUUUGCUACUCAGUUGGCAAAGGCGCCUACUAAAUCCUCCAUUAUAUCCUUGACACAGUCCACGCUCUUUGCCAUGUUUUCGAGUGCUGCCUGCUUUUAGGCGCCUUUUCGCCUUGUUUGCCGCCACUUGCAAGGCCAUCGCGGAAUAGAAACCAGGCUGGGAGGAGCUCGGCUGAAGGUUGCGUGCCAACUCAUCUCGGAUCGAGCGAACCACCCACAUUCCGGCCUGCAUGUUCGACACUUUUAUUAAUGCGCUCGUAACGCUCGUAAGGCUGUCAGAAUUCCAUUCACAGAACGUUAUCGUGUCCGUGGAAAGGGAAGGGGAUCCGAAGGAUACUGUAGCAUUGUUCGCCAUUUCCUGGGCUGAUAAGUCGGAAUACUUUGUCGCCAACGCUUGUUGCCCUGCUGACAGUUGUAAUAAAUGAAAAGGAUUGCAGGAUACCAAUGGGACAUCGAAUUCCACAUGGUUAUAACAGGAAAUAUAUGUUUUCGCUAGGAAGCUAAGCAUAAAAUAAGUUGAAAAAGAGGUUUAUAAUUCUAAUGCAGUGAUUCCUUACUUCGAAGAAGUACAAUAAAGAGAACUAUGUUAAUUCCAAGGCAAUCACUUAACGAGCUUUUUCUCGCCGGAGUCAUUACCACAUCCCAAGUCCUGCUCAUGACCAUCAUUAGUCACUUUCGCAUGUACGCACGUAGACUGCGC